GCGCCUCAGGGAGCCGAAAGCGCGGGACACCAUCGCCUCCGGUCCUCCCGCCUGCUGGCGCCCGAACUUCAUCCCCCCGCGCCCAAAACAAGGAAUACUCACUGGAAUUUCAUCUGUGGAAAAUCCUCUCAUGGAGCUUACAGAGGGGCAGAGACAAAACACUUGUUUACCAAGUCUGAGUGGCCUGUACCUGCAAUAGAGAUGUUCUGAGAGUGCCCAGAAGACACAGUGCAGCUCCUGCCCUUCAUCACAGGAACAGGACUGAAGAGGUGUGAUAAGAGUGUGGAGCAUUAAUGGAGCGGGAUGCUCAGUGCCAGAGGGGAGGAGGGAUACUUUGAUCAGUCACCAGGAUAAAAGCUGAGCUGCUUUACAACACAGCCUGCUGGAAAGUAGUUGUUAGAAAAACGUGUCUAUUAAAAGGUCAGGCGUGGUCCUGUGUUCUGGACUGACACUUGCACAAGCUGGUAAAUUAUACAUAAUGAACACCUUAUUAGGUUAAUUUUGUCUAUUUGGGGUCAUCGUGA
Molecule: long non-coding RNA, 524 nt
Organism: Chiroxiphia lanceolata (lance-tailed manakin)
Lineage: Eukaryota; Metazoa; Chordata; Aves; Passeriformes; Pipridae
Exons: 3
Source: RefSeq, a predicted model, not a curated record